GGCGGCAGGCCUAACACAUGCAAGUCGAGCGCCCGUAGCAAUACGGGAGCGGNAGACGGGAGAGUAACACGUGGGAACGUACCCUUCAGUUCGGAACAACCCAGGGAAACUUGGGCUAAUACCGAAUACGUCCGUAAGGAGAAAGAUUUAUCGCUGAAGGAUCGGCCCGCGUCUGAUUAGCUAGUUGGUGAGGUAACGGCUCACCAAGGCGACGAUCAGUAGCUGGUCUGAGAGGAUGAUCAGCCUCAUUGGGACUGAGACACGGCCCAAACUCCUACGGGAGGCAGCAGUGGGGAAUAUUGGACAAUGGGCGCAAGCCUGAUCCAGCCAUGCCGCGUGGAUGAUGAAGGCCCUAGGGUUGUNAAGUCCUUUCGGCGGGGAAGAUAAUGACGGUACCCGCAGAAGAAGCCCCGGCUAACUUCGUGCCAG
RNAcentral lists this ribosomal RNA (429 nucleotides) under uncultured Alphaproteobacteria bacterium. RNAcentral's name for it is "bacterial SSU rRNA". It matches the Rfam family "Bacterial small subunit ribosomal RNA", at positions 38 to 511 of the family's 1533-position model. The record is from RNAcentral. Lineage: Bacteria; Pseudomonadati; Pseudomonadota; Alphaproteobacteria.